GACGAACGCUGGCGGCGUGCUUAACACAUGCAAGUCGAACGGAAAGGCCCUGCUUUUGUGGGGUGCUCGAGUGGCGAACGGGUGAGUAACACGUGAGUAACCUGCCCUUGACUUUGGGAUAACUUCAGGAAACUGGGGCUAAUACCGGAUAGGAGCUCCUGCUGCAUGGUGGGGGUUGGAAAGUUUCGGCGGUUGGGGAUGGACUCGCGGCUUAUCAGCUUGUUGGUGGGGUAGUGGCUUACCAAGGCUUUGACGGGUAGCCGGCCUGAGAGGGUGACCGGCCAGAUUGGGACUGAAAUACGGCCCAGACUCCUACGGGAGGCAGAAGUGGGGAAUAUUGCACAAUGGGCGGAAGCCUGAUGCAGCAACGCCGCGUGCGGGAUGACGGCCUUCGGGUUGUAAACCGCUUUCGCCUGUGACGAAGCGUGAGUGACGGUAAUGGGUAAAGAAGCACCGGCUAACUACGUG
Molecule: ribosomal RNA, 468 nt
Filed under: uncultured bacterium
Lineage: Bacteria
Description: partial 16S ribosomal RNA
Rfam family: Bacterial small subunit ribosomal RNA
Source: RNAcentral